GGGUUGUGAGGUUAAGCGACUAAGCGUACACGGUGGAUGCCCUGGCAGUCAGAGGCGAUGAAGGGCGUGCUAAUCUGCGAUAAGCGCCGGUAAGGUGAUAUGAACCGUUAUAACCGGCGAUACCCGAAUGGGGAAACCCAGUGUGACUCGUCACACUAUCAUUAACUGAAUCCAUAGGUUAAUGAGGCGAACCGGGGGAACUGAAACAUCUAAGUACCCCGAGGAAAAGAAAUCAACCGAGAUUCCCCCAGUAGCGGCGAGCGAACGGGGAGGAGCCCAGAGCCUGAAUCAGCAUGUGUGUUAGUGGAAGCGUCUGGAAAGGCGCGCGAUACAGGGUGACAGCCCCGUACACAAAAGCGCAUGUGCUGUGAGCUCGAUGAGUAGGGCGGGACACGUGGUAUCCUGUCUGAAUAUGGGGGGACCAUCCUCCAAGGCUAAAUACUCCUGACUGACCGAUAGUGAACCAGUACCGUGAGGGAAAGGCGAAAAGAACCCCGGCGAGGGGAGUGAAAAAGAACCUGAAACCGUGUACGUACAAGCAGUGGGAGCACCCUUUUGGGUGUGACUGCGUACCUUUUGUAUAAUGGGUCAGCGACUUAUAUUCUGUAGCAAGGUUAACCGAAUAGGGGAGCCGGAGGGAAACCGAGUCUUAACCGGGCGUUAAGUUGCAGGGUAUAGACCCGAAACCCGGUGAUCUAGCCAUGGGCAGGUUGAAGGUUGGGUAACACUAACUGGAGGACCGAACCGACUAAUGUUGAAAAAUUAGCGGAUGACCUGUGGCUGGGGGUGAAAGGCCAAUCAAACCGGGAGAUAGCUGGUUCUCCCCGAAAGCUAUUUAGGUAGCGCCUCGUGAAUUCAUCUCCGGGGGUAGAGCACUGUUUCGGCUAGGGGGCCAUCCCGGCUUACCAACCCGAUGCAAACUGCGAAUACCGGAGAAUGUUAUCACGGGAGACACACGGCGGGUGCUAACGUCCGUCGUGAAGAGGGAAACAACCCAGACCGCCAGCUAAGGUCCCAAAGUCAUGGUUAAGUGGGAAACGAUGUGGGAAGGCCCAGACAGCCAGGAUGUUGGCUUAGAAGCAGCCAUCAUUUAAAGAAAGCGUAAUAGCUCACUGGUCGAGUCGGCCUGCGCGGAAGAUGUAACGGGGCUAAACCAUGCAC
RNAcentral lists this ribosomal RNA (1161 nucleotides) under Salmonella enterica. RNAcentral's name for it is "partial 23S ribosomal RNA". It matches the Rfam family "Bacterial large subunit ribosomal RNA", at positions 1 to 1194 of the family's 2925-position model. RNAcentral also lists the same sequence under 1 other name. The record is from RNAcentral. Lineage: Bacteria; Pseudomonadati; Pseudomonadota; Gammaproteobacteria; Enterobacterales; Enterobacteriaceae.